ACGGUGGUCUAGUGGCUAGACCGUUUGCCUCCGAUGCGAGAGUUCGUGGGUUCAAUCCCCGACCUAGAAAUA
Non-coding RNA from Potamilus streckersoni, 72 nucleotides. The record is from the annotation of a GenBank genome assembly. Lineage: Eukaryota; Metazoa; Mollusca; Bivalvia; Unionida; Unionidae.